Molecule: ribosomal RNA, 498 nt
Filed under: uncultured bacterium
Lineage: Bacteria
Description: partial 16S ribosomal RNA
Rfam family: Bacterial small subunit ribosomal RNA
Source: RNAcentral
AUUGAACGCUGGCGGCAUGCCUUACACAUUCAAGUCGAACGGCAGCACGGGGCAACCUGGUGGCGAGUGGCGAACGGGUGAGUAAUGCAUCGGAACGUACCUUUCAGUGGGGGAUAACGUAGCGAAAGUUACGCUAAUACCGCAUAUUCUGUGAGCAGGAAAGCAGGGGAUCGCAAGACCUUGCGCUGAUUGAGCGGCCGAUGUCAGAUUAGCUAGUUGGUGAGGUAAAGGCUCACCAAGGCGACGAUCUGUAGCGGGUCUGAGGGGAUGAUCCGCCACACUGGAACUGAGACACGGUCCAGACUCCUACGGGAGGCAGCAGUGGGGAAUUUUGGACAAUGGGGGCAACCCUGAUCCGGCCAUGCCGCGUGAGUGAAGAAGGCCUUCGGGUUGUAAAGCUCUUUCGGCCGGGAAGAAAUCGCACGGGCUAAUACCCUGUGUGGAUGACGGUACCGGAAUAAGAAGCACCGGCUAACUACGUGCCAGCCGCCGCCGUAA